GACGAACGCUGGCGGCGUGCCUAAUACAUGCAAGUCGAACGCUGAAGGAGGAGCUUGCUUCUCCGGAUGAGUUGCGAACGGGUGAGUAACGCGUAGGUAACCUGCCUGGUAGCGGGGGAUAACUAUUGGAAACGAUAGCUAAUACCGCAUAAGAGUAGAUGUCGCAUGACAUUUGCUUAAAAGGUGCAACUGCACCACUACCAGAUGGACCUGCGUUGUAUUAGCUAGUUGGUGAGGUAACGGCUCACCAAGGCAACGAUACAUAGCCGACCUGAGAGGGUGAUCGGCCACACUGGGACUGAGACACGGCCCAGACUCCUACGGGAGGCAGCAGUAGGGAAUCUUCGGCAAUGGACGGAAGUCUGACCGAGCAACGCCGCGUGAGUGAAGAAGGUUGUCGGAUCGUAAAGCUCUGUUGUAAGAGAAGAACGAGUGUGAGAGUGGAAAGUUCACACUGUGACGGUAUCUUACCAGAAAGGGACGGCUAACUACGUG
This 495-nucleotide ribosomal RNA is filed under the name uncultured bacterium. RNAcentral's name for it is "partial 16S ribosomal RNA". It matches the Rfam family "Bacterial small subunit ribosomal RNA", at positions 28 to 507 of the family's 1533-position model. The record is from RNAcentral.